UUGAACGCUGGCGGCAGGCCUAACACAUGCCAGUCGAGCGGAUGAAGGGAGCUUGCUCCUGGAUUCAGCGGCGGACGGGUGAGUAAUGCCUAGGAAUCUGCCUGGUAGUGGGGGAUAACGUCCGGAAACGGGCGCUAAUACCGCAUACGUCCUGAGGGAGAAAGUGGGGGAUCUUCGGACCUCACGCUAUCAGAUGAGCCUAGGUCGGAUUAGCUAGUUGGUGGGGUAAAGGCCUACCAAGGCGACGAUCCGUAACUGGUCUGAGAGGAUGAUCAGUCACACUGGAACUGAGACACGGUCCAGACUCCUACGGGAGGCAGCAGUGGGGAAUAUUGGACAAUGGGCGAAAGCCUGAUCCAGCCAUGCCGCGUGUGUGAAGAAGGUCUUCGGAUUGUAAAGCACUUUGAGUUGGGAGGAAGGGCAGUAAGUUAAUUCCUUGCUGUUUUGACGUUACCAACAGAAUAAGCACAGGCUAACUUCGUG
Molecule: ribosomal RNA, 483 nt
Filed under: uncultured bacterium
Lineage: Bacteria
Description: partial 16S ribosomal RNA
Rfam family: Bacterial small subunit ribosomal RNA
Source: RNAcentral